RNAcentral lists this ribosomal RNA (441 nucleotides) under uncultured bacterium. RNAcentral describes it as "bacterial SSU rRNA". It matches the Rfam family "Bacterial small subunit ribosomal RNA", at positions 29 to 464 of the family's 1533-position model. The record is from RNAcentral.
AACGAACGCUGGCGGCGUGGAUAAGACAUGCAAGUCGAACGGGAGUUUGUUUAUAGCAAUAUGAGUGAACUCUAGUGGCGAAAGGGUGCGUAACACGUAGCUACCUACCUCGAAGUUGGGGAUAGCUCGGCGAAAGCCGGAUUAAUACCGAAUGUGAUCGUGAGAUCGAAGCUGGGGAUCGUAGGACCUGGCGCUUUGAGAUGGGGCUGCGGCCUAUCAGCUAGNGGCGGGGUAACGGCCCACCAAGGCUUAGACGGGUAGCUGGUCUGAGAGGACGACCAGCCACACUGGAACUGAGACACGGGUCCAGACACCUACGGGUGGCAGCAGUCGAGGAUUUUCNCAAUGGGGGAAACCCUGAAGGAGCGACGCCGCGUGAGGGAUGAAGGUCUUCGGGAUUUGGAAACCUCUGUCAUCUGGGAACAAAGUGCUCAACCUAAC